CGGUGGGGUGGUAUAUCUAGCGUUUAUCCUAAAAGUCAUUCAUGUGGCAACGGCCAUCACGCACAAGACAUCAAUUUUGUCGGCCAGCUUAUYAAUACUGACAGUAGGACRUUUGUUUGGGAGAAAAACAAGCCUUACAUCGUGAUAACUGGUGCAGGCUGUUACUGGGUGAAAAUAGGAGCAUUUGCAUCCAAGUCAAGCUCACCGCCAUCGCUACAGAUUACCAUUGACGAGGAGCCAGUUGCACUGUUCAACAGUUCAGGAAAAUCUCCAACCAGUUACAAAAUAAGUGUGACAUCUUCAGCUCCUAAGAGCCAGUCCACCCCGUCCCGACAUCGAUCAGACGUAUCACCAUGGCGACCAGGUUCCAGUCUAUCGGGUGCCAUCUUGGUACCGGGCCACAGUCGACUGGGGAUCUGGGCCGCUAGUACAGUAAGUGGAACAAGGCUCGCUGUGGAAGGCUAUCUAGAAAUACAUAAAGUGUACUAAAACACGCAUUAAUUCCGCGAAAGAAAUAUUCUAAUUCCUAUUAUAUAGUGUUGAUGACAUGAUGGAAAACAAAAGUAUUGUUUAAUACCUAUUUUGCACUAUUUCUGUUUCACGCAUUCAGUGCGUCUAUACUCUAACUCCAGCAAUAGAGUCAUUUUCAUCAGACUGUGAAAUAGGAAGUGUACUAUUAAAUACUAUUACCCCCUAUUAGCUCCCAAUAAUUUAACUUAUGACAUGGGACAAACUAAUGAGGCAAACACGGUUUUGAUUUUACCUUUUGGUAGCCUACUACACCCUAAUAGUUACUAUUAAACACUGACUAGUAGUAAUUGUUUCACAGACGGAUGAAAAUGACUCUAACAUCACGUACAGAUAUCGUCAGGUGCUUUCCGCGAUAACGUAUGUGGUAAUCUCAUCAUUGACAACCUGAUGCGGCGGUGUUACGAAUUUCAACAGUCGAUAUAUUAUCAUUGAAAAUCAGCGCAAGAAACUAACAAAUUGCGCUCAGGUAAUUCUGCAGUUUUUUUAAAAAAACAGGCUACGUGUACCAAAAAAACAAGUGAUGGUUUUAUUCUCACCACGCAGGCGUUGUAACCAUUGACAUUGAAUGGUUUCAAUUUAUGCAUGACAUUAUUUUCAUUUGAAAUCGAGAUUUUUACGUGACAUAGAAAUUUAUUCAUAUAAUAUUAAAAACUAAAUAAUCUUUGUCUAUAAUUGUAAUUAGUAUGAAGUAAUUAUUAUUAAUUAUUAUUGUAUUGAUAUUAGCUGAUAAUGAUACAAAUUAUAUAUUCCAAAAAUAUGAUUGCUAUACUUGUGCAUUUUCCGUCUUUGUUGUUAAUACAAGUUUAAGGCUGAGAAACACGAGAUGCAACACCACUCAAAU
Molecule: long non-coding RNA, 1372 nt
Organism: Exaiptasia diaphana
Lineage: Eukaryota; Metazoa; Cnidaria; Anthozoa; Actiniaria; Aiptasiidae
Exons: 4
Source: RefSeq, a predicted model, not a curated record